Molecule: ribosomal RNA, 1118 nt
Filed under: Vibrio splendidus
Lineage: Bacteria; Pseudomonadati; Pseudomonadota; Gammaproteobacteria; Vibrionales; Vibrionaceae
Description: partial 23S ribosomal RNA
Rfam family: Bacterial large subunit ribosomal RNA
Source: RNAcentral
UCAUAAUCAGUGAAAACGAGUAGGGCGGGACACGUGAUAUCCUGUCUGAAUAUGGGGGGACCAUCCUCCAAGGCUAAAUACUACUGACUGACCGAUAGUGAACCAGUACCGUGAGGGAAAGGCGAAAAGAACCCCUGUGAGGGGAGUGAAAUAGAACCUGAAACCGUGUACGUACAAGCAGUAGGAGCACCUUCGUGGUGUGACUGCGUACCUUUUGUAUAAUGGGUCAGCGACUUAAUUUUAGUAGCAAGGUUAACCGUUUAGGGGAGCCGUAGGGAAACCGAGUCUUAACUGGGCGUACAGUUGCUAGGAUUAGACCCGAAACCAGGUGAUCUAGCCAUGGGCAGGUUGAAGGUUGAGUAACAUCAACUGGAGGACCGAACCGACUAAUGUUGAAAAAUUAGCGGAUGACUUGUGGCUAGGGGUGAAAGGCCAAUCAAACCUGGAGAUAGCUGGUUCUCCCCGAAAGCUAUUUAGGUAGCGCCUCGGACGAAUACUACUGGGGGUAGAGCACUGUUAAGGCUAGGGGGUCAUCCCGACUUACCAACCCUUUGCAAACUCCGAAUACCAGUAAGUACUAUCCGGGAGACACACGGCGGGUGCUAACGUCCGUCGUGGAGAGGGAAACAACCCAGACCGCCAGCUAAGGUCCCAAAGUAUAGCUAAGUGGGAAACGAUGUGGGAAGGCUCAGACAGCCAGGAUGUUGGCUUAGAAGCAGCCAUCAUUUAAAGAAAGCGUAAUAGCUCACUGGUCGAGUCGGCCUGCGCGGAAGAUGUAACGGGGCUAAGCUAUACACCGAAGCUGCGGCUACGUACCUUAGGGUAUGUGGGGUAGGGGAGCGUUCUGUAAGCCGUUGAAGGUGUGCUGUAAGGCAUGCUGGAGGUAUCAGAAGUGCGAAUGCUGACAUGAGUAACGAUAAAGGGAGUGAAAAACUCCCUCGCCGGAAGACCAAGGGUUCCUGUCCAACGUUAAUCGGGGCAGGGUAAGUCGACUCCUAAGGCGAGGCCGAAAGGCGUAGUCGAUGGGAAACGGGUUAAUAUUCCCGUACUUCUUACAAUUGCGAUGGGGGGACGGAGAAGGCUAGGUGGGCCUGGCGACGGUUGUCCAGGUUCAAGUA